CAGUAGCCACGGGAAUACGAAGGGGGCUAGCGUUGCUCGGAAUUACUGGGCGUAAAGCGCACGUAGGCGGAUAUUUAAGUCAGGGGUGAAAUCCCAGAGCUCAACUCUGGAACUGCCUUUGAUACUGGGUAUCUUGAGUAUGGAAGAGGUGAGUGGAAUUCCGAGUGUAGAGGUGAAAUUCGUAGAUAUUCGGAGGAACACCAGUGGCGAAGGCGGCUCACUGGUCCAUUACUGACGCUGAGGUGCGAAAACGUGGGGAGCAAACAGGAUUAGAUACCCCAGUAGUCCCUGUCUCUUAUAA
Molecule: ribosomal RNA, 301 nt
Filed under: uncultured bacterium
Lineage: Bacteria
Description: partial 16S ribosomal RNA
Rfam family: Bacterial small subunit ribosomal RNA
Source: RNAcentral